Molecule: long non-coding RNA, 297 nt
Organism: Gallus gallus (chicken)
Lineage: Eukaryota; Metazoa; Chordata; Aves; Galliformes; Phasianidae
Source: Ensembl
UGUGAAAAACCUUUAAAGCUACUCUGUCUUAGAAAAGAUCCAAACAAGUGAUGCUUUUAUCCAUAAAUCAUCAGAGAAAGUGAAGAAUGGGUACAUAUCCGUGGGACCCUCCACCCCGCUAAUCACAGAACCAGGCCAAACUAGCCCAUAAACCACUGACUCCCUGUAAGGAGAAACUCAGGGAACUGGGGUUGUUCAGCUGGAUGAAGGUUUCCUCUUGCUUACUAAUUUUCAGACAAGGAAAAGCAAGAAGAUGAAACCUGGCUCUUUCAGUGGUGCACACUGGGAGGAUGAGAC